RNAcentral lists this ribosomal RNA (474 nucleotides) under uncultured bacterium. RNAcentral describes it as "bacterial SSU rRNA". It matches the Rfam family "Bacterial small subunit ribosomal RNA", at positions 32 to 507 of the family's 1533-position model. The record is from RNAcentral.
AACGCUAGCGGCAGGCUUAACACAUGCAAGUCGAGGGGUAUUGGUUUUCGGACCAAGAGACCGGCGCACGGGUGCGUAACGCGUAUGCAAUCUACCUUUUGCAGAGGGAUAGCCCAGAGAAAUUUGGAUUAAUACCUCAUAGUAUAGUACUUUGGCAUCAAGGAACUAUUAAAGUCACAACGGCAAAAGAUGAGCAUGCGUCCCAUUAGCUAGUUGGUAAGGUAACGGCUUACCAAGGCUACGAUGGGUAGGGGUCCUGAGAGGGAGAUCCCCCACACUGGUACUGAGACACGGACCAGACUCCUACGGGAGGCAGCAGUGAGGAAUAUUGGACAAUGGGCGCAAGCCUGAUCCAGCCAUGCCGCGUGCAGGAUGACGGUCCUAUGGAUUGUAAACUGCUUUUAUACAGGAAGAAGCACUCCGACGUGUCGGAGCUUGACGGUACUGUAAGAAUAAGGAUCGGCUAGCUCCGUG